Molecule: ribosomal RNA, 253 nt
Filed under: uncultured bacterium
Lineage: Bacteria
Description: partial 16S ribosomal RNA
Rfam family: Bacterial small subunit ribosomal RNA
Source: RNAcentral
UACGUAGGGGGCAAGCGUCGUCCGGAAUUAUUGGGCGUAAAGAGCUCGUAGGCGGUUUGUCGCGUCUGCUGUGAAAUCUGGGGGCUCAACCCCCAGCCUGCAGUGGGUACGGGCAGACUAGAGUGCGGUAGGGGGGACUGGAAUUCCUGGUGUAGCGGUGAAAUGCGCAGAUAUCAGGAGGAACACCGAUGGCGAAGGCAGGUCUCUGGGCAUUAACUGACGCUGAGGAGCGAAAGCAUGGGGAGCGAACAGG